Molecule: non-coding RNA, 105 nt
Organism: Brugia malayi
Lineage: Eukaryota; Metazoa; Nematoda; Chromadorea; Rhabditida; Onchocercidae
Source: RefSeq, a predicted model, not a curated record
GCUUACGAAAGCGUAUUAAGCUCUGGGAUAUCUCGGAAGGUUUCGGAAAUAUUUGGCUCGAAAACUUCCAUGAUAUCUUCGAUUUAAUUCACGCUAUAUUCUUUA